RNAcentral lists this ribosomal RNA (546 nucleotides) under Naganishia bhutanensis. RNAcentral describes it as "eukaryotic LSU rRNA". It matches the Rfam family "Eukaryotic large subunit ribosomal RNA", at positions 118 to 655 of the family's 3401-position model. The record is from RNAcentral. Lineage: Eukaryota; Fungi; Basidiomycota; Tremellomycetes; Filobasidiales; Filobasidiaceae.
AAAUCUGGCGGCAUCCUGUCGUCCGAGUUGUAAUCUAUAGAAGUGUUUUCCGCUCCGGACCAUGUACAAGUCCCUUGGAACAGGGCGUCAUAGAGGGUGAGAAUCCCGUCCUUGACAUGAUCUCCGGCUGCUAUGUGAUACACUUUCAACGAGUCGAGUUGUUUGGGAAUGCAGCUCAAAAUGGGUGGUGAAUUCCAUCUAAAGCUAAAUAUUGGCGAGAGACCGAUAGCGAACAAGUACCGUGAGGGAAAGAUGAAAAGCACUUUGGAAAGAGAGUUAAACAGUACGUGAAAUUGUUGAAAGGGAAACGAUUGAAGUCAGUCAUGCUCUUUGGGUUAAGCCGUUCGCGGUGUAUUCCAUUGAGUGGGGUCAACAUCAGUUUUGACCGCUGGAAAAAGGCACAGGGAAGGUAGCACUCUCGGGUGAACUUAUAGCCCUGCGUCAUAUACAGUGGUUGGGACUGAGGAACGCAGCAUGCCUUAUGGCCGGGAUUCGUCCACGUACAUGCUUAGGAUGUUGACAUAAUGGCUUUAAACGACCCGUCUG